Long non-coding RNA from Mya arenaria, 495 nucleotides. RefSeq lists it as uncharacterized. The record is from RefSeq and is a predicted model, not a curated record. The transcript is spliced from 5 exons. NCBI's taxonomy places the organism in Eukaryota, Metazoa, Mollusca, Bivalvia, Myida, Myidae.
GCGAGAAAGUCUAGUGGAACGAUGCAGGGUUCAUUGGGUUUGUUUACAAAAAUUCAAGCAUCCGGUUAAGAAGACGACAAAUAAGAAUGGUAUUAAGUUGGUAGAAUGGAACUCCUUCCUGAUUCCUGCACAUGUAAGUUACCAGAUACUCUUGAGGGACCAAUUUAAGGGCAAACAGACAAACGUUUUGAUGCAAAGAAAGCAUUGGAUUUGAAAGUUCCCAUGGAGAAGAAAAAUGGAGAGAUUCUAAAAGUAUGAAGAUACUCCUGUGUAUAAUGAGGAAAUCUUGUCAGUGAAUGUUGUUGCAAUUGUGGACCAGGCCAGAGUUGUACUAAACCAACUAAGACACAAUGAGAUACAGGAAUGACACAAUGAGAAACAGGAAACAGGAAAGUGAUGACUGAUCGCCACCUGUUACAAAUUCAUCUAGAAAACUCCCCACAUCCAACAAGAGACAGUCUGACUUCAAAAUCUUCAUUGAAGGCAACUUAAUGG